AAGUCGUAACAAGGUUUCCGUAGGUGAACCUGCGGAAGGAUCAUUAUCGAAUAAACUUGAACAGGCUGUUGCUGGUCCCAGGACAAUGUGCACGCUUGUCAUCUUUAUCAUUUCUCCCAACUGUGCACAUAUUGUAGACCCUGGAUUUUGUUCCGAGUGGGGACUGCUGUGCUUCAAAAGAAGUCGGCUUUCCCCUUGAAGGUCUAUGUUUGUUUUUCACAACCUCUCGAAUGUGUUUAGAAUGUUGAAAUAAAGAAAAGUUAAUAAAAUACAACUUUCAGCAACGGAUCUCUUGGCUCUCGCAUCGAUGAAGAACGCAGCGAAAUGCGAUAAGUAAUGUGAAUUGCAGAAUUCAGUGAAUCAUCGAAUCUUUGAACGCAUCUUGCGCUCCUUGGUAUUCCGAGGAGCAUGCCUGUUUGAGUGUCAUUUAAACUCUCAAACCACAUCAUUCGUUUGACGUGGCUUUGGAUGUGGGGGUUGCCGGCUUUCUUCUCAGAGAGCCCUGCUCCCCUGAAAUGCAUUAGUGGUAUCUGGAGUGGAAAACCGCUAGGUGUGAUAAUACUGUCUAUGCCUUUGGUUAUGCCACAAUGUGCUGCUUCUAAACCGCACAUUUUUGUGCUUUUGACAAACUGACCUCAAUCANNNNAGUACUGCGAGUGAGCGGGAAGAGCUCAAAUUUGAAAUCUGGCGGUCGUUGGCCGUCCGAGUNGUAAUCUAGAGAAGUGCUACCUGUGCUGGACCGUGUACAAGUCUCCUGGAAUGGAGCAUCGCAGAGGGUGAGAAUCCCGUCUUUGACACGGACUGCCUGUACGUCAUGGUGCGCUCUCGAAGAGUCGAGUUGUUUGGGAAUGCAGCUCAAAAUGGGUGGUAAAUGCCAUCUAAAGCUAAAUAUUGGCGAGAGACCGAUAGCGAACAAGUACCGUGAGGGAAAGAUGAAAAGAACUUUGGAAAGAGAGUUAAACAGUACGUGAAAUUGCUGAAAGGGAAACGCUUGAAGUCAGUCGCGUCGGCCAGAAAUCAGCCUUUGCUUUUGCUUGGUGUACUUUCUUGGUUGAUGGGUCAGCAUCAAUUUCGACCGUCGGAUAAAGUCGUCGGGAAUGUGGCAUCUUCGGAUGUGUUAUAGCCCGGCGUCGCAUACGGUGGUUGGGAUUGAGGAACUCAGCACGCCGAAAGGCCGGGUCUCUCGAGACCACGUCCGUGCUUAGGAUGCUGGCAUAAUGGCUUUAAUCGACCCGUCUUGAAACACGGACC
This 1251-nucleotide ribosomal RNA is filed under the name uncultured fungus. RNAcentral describes it as "eukaryotic LSU rRNA". The stretch from base 568 to 1251 matches the Rfam family "Eukaryotic large subunit ribosomal RNA", at positions 1 to 667 of the family's 3401-position model. The record is from RNAcentral. Lineage: Eukaryota; Fungi.